Long non-coding RNA from Pipra filicauda (Wire-tailed manakin), 978 nucleotides. RefSeq lists it as uncharacterized. The record is from RefSeq and is a predicted model, not a curated record. NCBI's taxonomy places the organism in Eukaryota, Metazoa, Chordata, Aves, Passeriformes, Pipridae. The transcript is spliced from 2 exons.
GUAGGUCGGCCCCGGGCGGGCCCCGCGAGAGGGUCUAGGAUACGCAAGAUUGAUGUUUGAAGAGGUCAGCGUUAAUCUAGCAUCCUCUACAGUUUAGGAGGCACUGGUUUUGUUUGGCAAAUACUACAUUUCAUCCACCUUUCUGCUGGGCACUCACCGCCACCAUUUUUUUUCCUGGACAGUCUGUACAAUGACAGUCACUGCUCAGGACUGAGUGCUCCCACAUUCUGGCCACGAGGAGAAGUGACUGAAUUUGGUUUUUUUUUCCUCUUUCCUCCCAAAGAUCUUCCAAGACAACCUGACUUUAUUUAUGUGGAUAUACUGGGAUUAAGUCUUCCAGCAGCCUCCACUGCAAGACUGAGGAGCCGUUAUAUAAAUGAAUUACAGCUGUUUGAACUAUCAACCCUCUUGUUAUUUGGUUAAUUCAGAGAUCCUCUGUGUUCUGAAGAUGGUGUUUUCCAUUCCUAUUCCUACAGUCAUUUAAGUUAUUUAUGACAUAUUUUUAAUUAUGCAAAACACAUUUCUCAGUCUUUUCAGUUCUCAUAUGAAGCAGCUGGCUUCAGUUAGCUGAACAUUAUUGUUAAGCCUCACUUUAAAGUACUUCAAAAUUCUUGUAUAAAUUGCCUUACACUCUUAAUUAAGGGGAAGGAUGUGGCUGUUACAUAAAAAAAACCUGCUCCCUAAACCAGAAUCCCCCAAAUGCAUCCUGCCUGGGGCUACCAGGCUAAAUGGAGCUGAUGUUAAGAAUUAGACAUUCUCAGACAUCACUAAUUUGGUUAAGAGACCACCUGGGAAUCCAUCUUACCCUCCAAGCCAAGGCUAGGAAUGUGUCAAAAUACCAGACCACUGAAGUGGAGAGACAAGCUCCCUCUGGACUUCUUGCCACUGCAGAUACAAACUACAAGGAAAAGAGGAGACACUUGCCUAAAAUCUAAAUGGUAAAUCUUAGUAAAAUGUACAAAUAUGUCUUUAACUUCA